AUAUCUUUCCUUCCAUCUGGCUGGGUGUUGGGAAAGAUGGGAUGUGCUUUCUGCAGCUCCUGGUGCCUGUGCAGUGCAGAACUCCUGCACCUCUCAGGGCAGCCCUUGAGCCUGGCCAGGCUGUGCCACUGCAUUCUCUAAGCCCAGGAGCAGCCUCCUAGCCUGGAGCUGCCUGUCUGCCCUGCAUGGAGCAAAGAUUUGGCCCAUUGCUGUAAAAACAGUGCCUGUGUUCUGUGCUCCAGAGGACGGACUUCUUGAUGGCCCAAUGUGGUUGAAGAGGUGUUAACUUUGCCCAUCCAAUCAUACUGGUCUCUGUAAAUAGUAUAUAAAGAAAUCACAUUUUGAAUAAACUCUCUU
Molecule: long non-coding RNA, 357 nt
Organism: Prinia subflava (tawny-flanked prinia)
Lineage: Eukaryota; Metazoa; Chordata; Aves; Passeriformes; Cisticolidae
Exons: 3
Source: RefSeq, a predicted model, not a curated record